AGUAACGCGUGGGCAACCUGCCCCGCACUGGGGGACAACAGCCGGAAACGGCUGCUAAUACCGCAUAUGCGCACAGCUUUGCAUGAAGCAGUGUGGAAAACUCCGGUGGUGCGGGAUGGGCCCGCGUCUGAUUAGCUGGUUGGCGGGGCAACGGCCCACCAAGGCGACGAUCAGUAGCCGGCCUGAGAGGGUGGACGGCCACAUUGGGACUGAGACACGGCCCAGACUCCUACGGAAGGCAGCAG
Molecule: ribosomal RNA, 245 nt
Filed under: uncultured bacterium
Lineage: Bacteria
Description: partial 16S ribosomal RNA
Rfam family: Bacterial small subunit ribosomal RNA
Source: RNAcentral